CUAAAAACAGGUUUUGUUAUACUGGAAGUUUCUUGACAGAAUAACAAAACAGUAUCCAUAUAUCUGUCACAACACAAGGCAGGUCUGCCAGGAAAAAUACACGGGCUAUUCACUUGAAGAAAUAAAAAAAGAAGCGCAGAAAUCUCUGAAACAUCUGAUUUCCCCUUCUCCAUGGAAAAAUGCUGUUUAUGACUUUGCUAUGGAAACGUGCUGGGUCAUUUUAACGCUGGGUUAUUUUUUUCUGCCUAACCACUGGGUUGACCUUGUCUCUGGUGAAACUUCUCAACAAUGUUGCUGCUGA
Long non-coding RNA from Cyprinus carpio (common carp), 301 nucleotides. The record is from Ensembl. NCBI's taxonomy places the organism in Eukaryota, Metazoa, Chordata, Actinopteri, Cypriniformes, Cyprinidae.